UGUGCCAGCAGCCGCGGUAAUACGUAGGGUGCAAGCGUUAAUCGGAAUUACUGGGCGUAAAGCGUGCGCAGGCGGUUCGCUAAGACCGAUGUGAAAUCCCCGGGCUUAACCUGGGAACUGCAUUGGUGACUGGCGGGCUAGAGUAUGGCAGAGGGGGGUAGAAUUCCACGUGUAGCAGUGAAAUGCGUAGAGAUGUGGAGGAAUACCGAUGACGAAGGCAGCCCCCUGGGCCAAUACUGACGCUCAUGCACGAAAGCAUGGGGAGCAAACAGGAUUA
Molecule: ribosomal RNA, 277 nt
Filed under: uncultured Burkholderia sp.
Lineage: Bacteria; Pseudomonadati; Pseudomonadota; Betaproteobacteria; Burkholderiales; Burkholderiaceae
Description: partial 16S ribosomal RNA
Rfam family: Bacterial small subunit ribosomal RNA
Source: RNAcentral